This 464-nucleotide ribosomal RNA is filed under the name uncultured bacterium. RNAcentral describes it as "partial 16S ribosomal RNA". It matches the Rfam family "Bacterial small subunit ribosomal RNA", at positions 338 to 795 of the family's 1533-position model. The record is from RNAcentral.
CCUACGGGUGGCAGCAGUAGGGAAUUUUCGUCAAUGGGGGGAACCCUGAACGAGCAAUGCCGCGUGAGUGAAGAAGGUCUUCGGAUCGUAAAGCUCUGUUGUAAGAGAAAAACGGGUAUCAUAGGGCAUGAUGCUAUCGUGAUGGUAUCUUCCCAGACAGCCACGGCUAACUACGUGCCAGCAGUCGCGGAAAUACGUAGGUGGCAAGCGUUAUCCGGAAUGAUUGGGGGUAAAGGGUGCGUAGGCGGCAAUAUAAGUCUGAAGUAAAGGGCGUUUGCUCAACCAAUGGAAGCAUUGGAAACUGUUAGGCUAGCGUGCAGGAGAGGUGAGUGGAAUUCGAGGUGUAGCGGUAAAAUGCGUAGAUAUAUGGAGGAACACCAGUGGCGAAGGCGGCUAACUGGCCUGUAACGGACGCUGAGGCACGAAAGCGUGGGGAGCAAAUAGGAUUAGAUACCCCUGUAGUC